CCUUUUCCUAUUGAGCCACUAAAUUUCUCUAUAUAGUCUACUGACCCCCUCCCUAGUAGUGUCUCGUUUCUCAUUUGGUCAAAAACACUCAAAACCCAUCACUACUUCCACUCAAAACAAACCCACAGAGAGAAAAUGGAACCACCAAGAACUCAAGGCAUGAAUAUAUCUGCUGCAGGAGAAGAUGAACAAGACAAGAUCAUCAACGAAUGUUGCUCAUGCUGUUAUGAUUGCACAGAUAGUUGCUUUGAUUUCUUAUGCUGUUAUCUCUGCUAGAAGUUGGAAAUAUUUCUUCUCUGUUUCAAUUUCUCUAGUUUGUUCAAUGGGAAAACCACUGUGACUUUCUUCUUUAUUUUUCUCUCUGAAAUUAAAGAGCUUAUUAUGGAAAAAAAAAAUACUGUAAAAGAUUUUGCAUUUUUCACCUUCCUUAAAUUAUUCUUGUUUGUGACUUUGUAAACGUAGGUGACGAAGACUUGCUAUAUAAUUAUGAUUGUGUCAA
Molecule: long non-coding RNA, 499 nt
Organism: Papaver somniferum (opium poppy)
Lineage: Eukaryota; Viridiplantae; Streptophyta; Magnoliopsida; Ranunculales; Papaveraceae
Exons: 2
Source: RefSeq, a predicted model, not a curated record